AAGAAGGUGGCAGAGGAUAUGCGUCUGGCUUGAAACCAGGGUACGGGGGUUCGAUUCCCCCCUUUCUUG
This 69-nucleotide transfer RNA is filed under the name Anilany helenae. RNAcentral describes it as "tRNA-Ser". It matches the Rfam family "tRNA". From Rfam's summary of the family: Transfer RNA (tRNA) molecules are approximately 80 nucleotides in length. Their secondary structure includes four short double-helical elements and three loops (D, anti-codon, and T loops). The record is from RNAcentral. Lineage: Eukaryota; Metazoa; Chordata; Amphibia; Anura; Microhylidae.